GAUGAAGAACGUAGUGAAAUGCGAUAAGUAGUGUGAAUUGCAGAAUUCAGUGAAUCAUCGAAUCUUUGAACGCUCAUUGCGCCCCUUGGUAUUCCAUGGGGCAUGCCUGUUCGAGCGUCAUUUGUACCUUCAAGCUUUGCUUGGUGUUGGGUGCUUGUCUUUUUGUUAAGACUCACCUCAAAGUCAUUGGCAGCCAGUGUUUUGGUAGUAAGCGCAGCACAUUUUGCGUCUUGGUCCCUUAACAGCAGCAUCCAUCAAGCCAUUUUCUCACUUUUGACCUCGGAUCAGGUAGGGAUACCCGCUGAACUUAAGCAUAUCAAAAGCGGAGGA
RNAcentral lists this unclassified non-coding RNA (330 nucleotides) under soil metagenome. Its description in RNAcentral is "partial contains 5.8S ribosomal RNA, internal transcribed spacer 2, and large subunit ribosomal RNA". The stretch from base 1 to 120 matches the Rfam family "5.8S ribosomal RNA", at positions 35 to 154 of the family's 154-position model. The record is from RNAcentral.